Molecule: unclassified non-coding RNA, 416 nt
Filed under: Mycolicibacterium insubricum
Lineage: Bacteria; Bacillati; Actinomycetota; Actinomycetes; Mycobacteriales; Mycobacteriaceae
Description: partial contains 16S ribosomal RNA and 16S-23S ribosomal RNA intergenic spacer
Source: RNAcentral
UACCGGAAGGUGCGGCUGGAUCACCUCCUUUCUAAGGAGCACCGAUACCGUAAAGGUUCCCCCGCCCCCGCAAUCGUGUGGGAUCUGGUGGUUGGGAGAGGUGCCAGGGUUCUGUAGUGGGAUUCUGGUGGGUGCACAACAAACAUUGAGGCACGUCCCGGUUUCGGGGGUGUCGCCUGGUCUACGGGAACGUGGGGCUGGGGUCGCUGAACACACUGUUGGGUCCUGAGGCAACAGGCCCGCAGGCUCGCCCCCUGUUUUUUUGGGUGUGGUGGGUGCUGGUCCCUGACUGUUGGUUGGGGGUUCUGAUUGUCGCCCUGCUUGGUGGUGGGGUGUGGUGUUUGAUUUGUGGAUAGUGGUUGCGAGCAUCAAGCCGCACGAUGUGGCCGGCACUCUUUGGGGUGUUGGUUGGUGUG